Molecule: ribosomal RNA, 253 nt
Filed under: uncultured bacterium
Lineage: Bacteria
Description: partial 16S ribosomal RNA
Rfam family: Bacterial small subunit ribosomal RNA
Source: RNAcentral
UACGUAGGAGGCGAGCGUUGUCCGGAAUUACUGGGCGUAAAGCGUGCGCAGGCGGUUUUGUAAGCCAGAUGUGAAAUCCCCGGGCUUAACCUGGGAAUGGCAUUUGGGACUGCAAGGCUCGAGUGCGGCAGAGGAGACUGGAAUUCCUGGUGUAGCAGUGAAAUGCGUAGAUAUCAGGAGGAAUACCGAUGGCGAAGGCAGGUCUCUGGGCUGACACUGACGCUCAUGCACGAAAGCGUGGGGAGCAAACAGG